UAGGGAAUCUUCGGCAAUGGGGGGAACCCUGACCGAGCAACGCCGCGUGAGUGAAGAAGGUUUUCGGAUCGUAAAGCUCUGUUGUUAAGGAAGAACGAGUGUGAGAAUGGAAAGUUCAUACUGUGACGGUAGUUAACCAGAAAGGGACGGCUAACUACGUGCCAGCAGCCGCGGUAAUACGUAGGUCCCGAGCGUUGUCCGGAUUUAUUGGGCGUAAAGCGAGCGCAGGCGGUUAGAUAAGUCUGAAGUUAAAGGCAGUGGCUCAACCAUUGUAGGCUUUGGAAACUGUUUAACUUGAGUGCAGAAGGGGAGAGUGGAAUUCCAUGUGUAGCGGUGAAAUGCGUAGAUAUAUGGAGGAACACCGGUGGCGAAAGCGGCUCUCUGGUCUGUAACUGACGCUGAGGCUCGAAAGCGUGGGGAGCGAACAGG
RNAcentral lists this ribosomal RNA (429 nucleotides) under Bacteroidota bacterium. RNAcentral's name for it is "Bacteroidetes bacterium partial 16S ribosomal RNA". It matches the Rfam family "Bacterial small subunit ribosomal RNA", at positions 355 to 776 of the family's 1533-position model. Lineage: Bacteria; Pseudomonadati; Bacteroidota. The record is from RNAcentral.